AGCAGCCGCGGUAAUUCCAGCUCCAAUAGCGUAUAUUAAAGUUGUUGCAGUUAAAAAAGCUCGUAGUUGAAUUUCGGGGGUCAGUAGGUUGGUCAUGCCACUGGCAUGUACUGGUCUCACUGAUUCCUCCUUCCUGAUGAACCGUAAUGCCAUUAAUUUGGUGUUGCAGGGAAUCUGGACUGUUACUUUGAAAAAAAUUAGAGUGUUUAAAGCAGGCUAACGCCUGAAUACAUUAGCAUGGAAUAAUGAAAUAGGACGUUCGAUCCUAUUUUGUUGGUUUCUAGGAUUGACGUAAUGAUUAAUAGGGAUAGUUGGGGGCAUUAGUAUUCAAUCGUCAGAGGUGAAAUUCUUGGAUUUUAUUGAAGACUAACUACUGCGAAAGCAUUUU
RNAcentral lists this ribosomal RNA (388 nucleotides) under uncultured Glomeromycotina. Its description in RNAcentral is "SSU rRNA". It matches the Rfam family "Eukaryotic small subunit ribosomal RNA", at positions 569 to 957 of the family's 1831-position model. Lineage: Eukaryota; Fungi; Glomeromycota. The record is from RNAcentral.